This 216-nucleotide unclassified non-coding RNA is filed under the name Hevea brasiliensis (rubber tree). The record is from RNAcentral. Lineage: Eukaryota; Viridiplantae; Streptophyta; Magnoliopsida; Malpighiales; Euphorbiaceae.
GUUCUUUGCAUUGUGGACAGUACCUUUGUAAGAUAUAUUCACAUUAAUCCUUUAUUGCAAUUUCCUUUCCCCUUCAACACAUCAACUCUAAAGAAUUCAUAUACAAAGUAAUCCUUUAUUUCAUUCUUAAGAAAAAGGACAUGAUAUCGAAGGAUAGAUCUUAACUUAUAUCAAUUAAUAAUUUAGAUUUGAGAUAAUUUGUAAAAUACAUAAGCU